This 497-nucleotide ribosomal RNA is filed under the name uncultured bacterium. Its description in RNAcentral is "partial 16S ribosomal RNA". It matches the Rfam family "Bacterial small subunit ribosomal RNA", at positions 28 to 507 of the family's 1533-position model. The record is from RNAcentral.
GAUGAACGCUGGCGGCGUGCCUAAUACAUGCAAGUCGAGCGAACAGACGAGGAGCUUGCUCCUCUGACGUUAGCGGCGGACGGGUGAGUAACACGUGGAUAACCUACCUAUAAGACUGGGAUAACUUCGGGAAACCGGAGCUAAUACCGGAUAAUAUAUUGAACCGCAUGGUUCAAUAGUGAAAGACGGUUUUGCUGUCACUUAUAGAUGGAUCCGCGCCGCAUUAGCUAGUUGGUAAGGUAACGGCUUACCAAGGCAACGAUGCGUAGCCGACCUGAGAGGGUGAUCGGCCACACUGGAACUGAGACACGGUCCAGACUCCUACGGGAGGCAGCAGUAGGGAAUCUUCCGCAAUGGGCGAAAGCUUGACGGAGCAACGCCGCGUGAGUGAUGAAGGUCUUCGGAUCGUCAAACUCUGUUAUUAGGGAAGAACAAAUGUGUAAGUAACUAUGCACGUCUUGACGGUACCUAAUCAGAAAGCCACGGCUGACUACGUG